GACAUUGAGUGCCUGGAGCCCUCCCUAGCUCUCCAGCUGGAACCUUCCUCUGUAGGAAGGCUGAGGCUAGCAGGGAGAAGCCAGGAUGGAUUUUAAAGAGCCUUGUUGUCUCUAAGGAAGAGUGGAGCUUACAUCUUUGGGUUUGCAGAAAUGCCCACAUUCAACUCAGGGGGAAUAAAAGGAUGGGAGUUAGAAUUUCAACUUGCAGUUGCAGAAUCUCAGAGUUAAAAGAAACCUCAGAGGUCAUCUCUUCCAACCCUUCUCCAGAGCAGCUUUAAUUGCCUGUGUGGGAGAUUCAGGGCCAGCAGCUGCAGCUUCCCUUUCCCUGCCUCUGACUUGCCAGGUGAGUUUAGAUGAGUUCCUUGCUUUCUUGAGUGUUUAUUAUUAUUACUAAUAAACAAGAGGAUGAAUAUUUGAAGUUCUUCUGCUGUCUUAAAGCCCUCAAACUCCACUGGCUACUGAAAUCUUAUAUGCAAGCUUUAUACCUGUAACUUGUUAAAGGAGAGCUGCUUUGAUAAAAAUAGGGUUAUAGUCCUCCUGCUGAACCUCCCAUCUCCACCUGGCCCCCAGAAGUCACUCAGGAGGCUCUCUUGACCCCCUAGGGAUUUGUGGAGUACAGUUGGAAAGGGUGGCACUGUGACCUAUGGUUAUAAUAACACCGGCACCUACUUAUUGAACAUUAACCAGGCAUCAGGGGCUUGGCACAGGUCAUGUUCAGUUCUGACAGACACUUUGGGGGCUCUGUAUCCUUAUCCCCAUAUCAUAUAUCAGGUCUGAGCCUCAGGGAGGUGCUCGUUGCUCUGCCACACAGAGGUCACACAGGAAGGAAGUGGUGGAGACUCAGUUCCAGCCCAGGUAGCUCAGCAGCAAGGCCUGUCUGCUUCAGCUCUGAGCUUUACUGCCUCUUUGUGACUUGUGACCUUCAACCUGACACACAGCAUCCCAGCCUUCCCUGGAGUUUGGUUUUUUGAGUUGUCAUCCCACCUGCCAUCUCUGACAGCCCCAGUAUUUAGUGUUUUAGGUGCUCCCAGAUCCACGAUGUGUAGUAAUAGGCUAAAGGCAUCAGUGUUCUCUAGAAUACUUCGUACCACUUAGCAAAUAGCCUCUGUGACGCCACUGGUUUUGUGAUUUUCCCAAGCAAACUUUACUAUCCCUUUCUUAUUGUCCUCAUCACUUACUCUUGUUUGCACAAAGCCCAGGCUCUAAUUUAUUCCCCUUGUCCUUAAUCCUCUCAUCUCUUUCUCCAGGCUGGUCUUGAACUUCAGACCUCAAGAGAUCCACUGCCUUGUCCUCUCAAAGUGCUGGGAUUAUAGACGUGAGCUACCGCGCCCAGGCUUAGAGCCCAGCUUAUACCCAGUUACUUAGCUUCUGUGUGUGUGUGUGUUUGUAAAUGAACUAUUAUAUUUCAGGAAGUUCCUAGCAGGGAGGAUGAGAUGGAAUCAGUGAAUUUUAGAUCUCAAGGAGAACUAGAGAUUGCUUGGUCCAACCUCUUUCCUCUGCAAGAGGGCCCUUGUGGGGAAGGGACUGGCCAAGGCUACCCAAAGAGCUUGGAGAGAGGUGCAGGGCAUGUGACCAUGUGCAAAGCAUUUGCCAGUAGAGUUCGGCAUUUUUUCCUGGCGCGUUCACCUCCUGACAGGGCACCAGGAAGGUGCUGCACAGCCUGGCAUGUGGUGGGUGGUGUUUAUCUGCACAAGUCACCCAAGUGAUCAGAACGCUUUUACGGAAAACAAUGGCUUUGAUGUUCUGGGUGACAAGACCAAAGCAUGCUGGCGGGAAGGGAGGUUUUUGGGGUUAGAGAAAUGAAAACUAUUUACAUUUAGGGCUGACUUAAUAACUUAACACCUCUGAAGUGGGAGGAUGUUUUUGAGGGAAAGUUGAAUGUAAGUGUAGUACAAAAAGGAAAGUUUGAGGUAGAAGACUAGGAGUGGAAAUACUUCUAAUGGCUCAGGGAAAACGUCCUGGUAAGGUUGAACUUCCAGAUGCCUCCUUUCUUCCCACACCCCCACUGCAUCCUCUGUUUCUACGGUGAGAUUUGCAUGGCACUUUACAGUUUCCAAAGCAUUUCCUCACAUAUUAUCUUCUUCAGUCCUCCCAGGAGGUGGUGCCACCAAAGGCUGUCUGACCACACCUGCGGCUUUUGGAGGGAGCUUGGCUUGGAACCCAGGGUUCUCUGAGUCAAAAUCCUUUUUUCCUGGGACAGUGGUGGUCCUCACAUUCCCUUCAAGACUAUAGACUUUAGAAGCCCAGUCUCUGGCGCUAGACUUCCUUCCUUCACCUACCAGGCUUCUCCCUCUGCAGAGGUCUUGGGCGCCUUUUGUGACCAUUCUGUGACGUGGUUUCUUGAAAUGUAAGAUGGGGAUAAUGUGAGCAC
RNAcentral lists this long non-coding RNA (2371 nucleotides) under Homo sapiens (human). Its description in RNAcentral is "non-protein coding PVT1:70". The record is from RNAcentral. Lineage: Eukaryota; Metazoa; Chordata; Mammalia; Primates; Hominidae.